GAACGACUCCUGGCAAUGGAUAUCUCGGCUCUCGCAUCGAUGAAGAACGUAGCGAAAUGCGAUACUUGGUGUGAAUUGCAGAAUCCCGUGAACCAUCGAGUCUUUGAACGCAAGUUGCGCCCGAAGCCUUCUGGCUGAGGGCAUGUCUGCCUGGGCAUCACGC
RNAcentral lists this ribosomal RNA (163 nucleotides) under Muraltia serpylloides. RNAcentral describes it as "5.8S ribosomal RNA". It matches the Rfam family "5.8S ribosomal RNA". From Rfam's summary of the family: 5.8S ribosomal RNA (5.8S rRNA) is a component of the large subunit of the eukaryotic ribosome. It is transcribed by RNA polymerase I as part of the 45S precursor that also contains 18S and 28S rRNA. The record is from RNAcentral. Lineage: Eukaryota; Viridiplantae; Streptophyta; Magnoliopsida; Fabales; Polygalaceae.